GAUGAACGCUGGCGGCGUGCCUAAUACAUGCAAGUCGAGCGAAUGGAUUAAGAGCUUGCUCUUAUGAAGUUAGCGGCGGACGGAUGAGUAACACGUGGGUAACCUGCCCAUAAGACUGGGAUAACUCCGGGAAACCGGGGCUAAUACCGGAUAACAUUUUGAACCGCAUGGUUCGAAAUUGAAAGGCGGCUUCGGCUGUCACUUAUGGAUGGACCCGCGUCGCAUUAGCUAGUUGGUGAGGUAACGGCUCACCAAGGCAACGAUGCGUAGCCGACCGGAGAGGGUGAUCGACCACACUGGGACUGAGACACGGCCCAGACUCCUACGGGAGGCAGCAGUAGGGAAUCUUCCGCAAUGGACGAAAGUCUGACGGAGCAACGCCGCGUGAGUGAUGAAGGCUUUCGGGUCGUAAAACUCUGUUGUUAGGGAAGAACAAGUGCUAGUUGAAUAAGCUGGCACCUUGACGGUACCUAACCAGAAAGCCACGGCUAACUACGUGCCAGCCGCCGCAGUAA
This 515-nucleotide ribosomal RNA is filed under the name uncultured bacterium. RNAcentral's name for it is "partial 16S ribosomal RNA". It matches the Rfam family "Bacterial small subunit ribosomal RNA", at positions 28 to 523 of the family's 1533-position model. The record is from RNAcentral.